This is a long non-coding RNA of Odocoileus virginianus texanus, 686 nucleotides long. RefSeq lists it as uncharacterized. NCBI's taxonomy places the organism in Eukaryota, Metazoa, Chordata, Mammalia, Artiodactyla, Cervidae. The record is from RefSeq and is a predicted model, not a curated record.
GAAGGAAGGUGAUGGUGGUAAUGGGGGAGGGGGGCCUUUUGAACGCCCCCCCCAGUUUAAAAAAAAAGAGUGAGAAAGGAAAGAAGUUUCCAACCUGAAGGGGGGGGGGACCAGACCUUUCUUUUCCAAAGCCCCCUCCCAUUUUUGAGAACAGACAACAAGCGCUUGCGUUCCAGACACUGCUGGCAAUAGAGAGGCUGUAAGAACUUCACGGAGAAGUUUCUGUUAAGAUUCUCACCUCCGGAUAGGCAGAAGGAGCUAAGAGGUGAUAAGGACAUUUGUACUUCUAAGAAGAUCCGAAGAACCAGCAAAAUGGCUUAAUUUUAAAUACACUGGCAAAAGAGAUGGAGGAUAGUUAUUUUUAUUAUUAUUAUUGUUCAGAACAAAUCUGUUUACUUCUCUUAGCUCUGCAAGAUUUAGGACUCUUGAAACAAGUGAGGAAAACUACAAAAGCUCAAGUUGUCUUAGACUGUGUUUUAGAAGGGCAGGGAAAGGCUAGGAGGCCUGUAGGAGGAAGACAGGAGGCAAGAAUGUAGGUGUCUGCAGAUUUGGGGCAGGGGGUGGGGAAGAGCCGUUCCUGGUGGAAGAAAAAGACAAAAAAAGCACCAGGACUUUUCCAAAAGCAGGAGUGUUUGCAGCUUGGCAGAACUGCUGACUCCGGGCUUAGAGGAUAAAAUAGAAGUCCA